Molecule: long non-coding RNA, 5388 nt
Filed under: Homo sapiens (human)
Lineage: Eukaryota; Metazoa; Chordata; Mammalia; Primates; Hominidae
Description: non-protein coding lnc-RP9-2:6
Source: RNAcentral
AGUCCACUUCUGCCAGGCAAACACAGACAGUUUCUAGUUGCAAGAUAUCCCCCAUGGCAGAGAAAAAAAAAAGUUUCUUCUGGGAUGCAGACAAUCCAGGAAUCAGUGAUAAUCCACUGACCUUUCUAGGAAGUAAGAGCAAAGAACAAACAGGUUAGAUUCUGAGAAGCUGUUUCUAAGUUUGAUGGUUUUUUUUUUCCUAAGCCUGAGGCACUGAGAAGGGUUCAAGCUUGUAUUCUCCAGAUGCAAGGGUGCAAAUAAAGCCCGAUUUCCACUGGCAGCUAUUAUAACCAGGAGAGGAUCCUGCCUUUGGCUAAGGCCAGCGGAAAGGAAGGCAAAUGGAGAGACACAAAGAGCCUGAAUCUUUGAGCCAUCACUCAGUUGCGAUCAAACUGCCUGGAACCCACCCCACCCCGAUCGCCUGCUCGGACAAAAAUAACUGAAGCUCCCAUUGUUCAAACCAGCUUGUGUCAUGGUUUCUGAUGUUUAUAACUAAGACCAAUUCAAACAAUACAAUAUUUUAAAUCUUUAUUAUUUUUUAAGGAAACAAUAGCUUAAGGGUAAAAACUCAUCUCUAAUUGUAAAAAAAAAUUAUCUCUAAUUGUAGGCUUUUGAAGUUAGGGUCGGUCAGUAUUUUUAGAUAGAAUCUUUCAAAACUCAGGAGAGAGACUCAGCUUAUUUCAUGUGUAUGAUGAGGAUGUCUCCUUUAUUCUUUUUCCUGCUAUCACACUUAUGCCAGGCUUUCUUUCAAAACUUAACUCACCCAGCUCCUUGUCUUUGAAGCCUUCUUUUAAUUCUUCUCCCACAUUCCCCAAAACCAAGUCAAUUCUCUCCCUCAGUGCCCUCAUGUGUAUAAAUUGCAUAUCAUAUGGCAUUUUUUUCAUGUCUGUAAGACUCCCAAUUUCCCAAAGGCGAGGUUACUGUCAUUUUCUUCUGUAUCUACAGUGACCAUCACAUGAAAAGUACUCCAUAAAGGUGUUAAGGAUGGAAUUGUGUCCCCAACCCCAAAAUUCAUGUGUUGAAGCCCUCACCCUCGAUGUGACCAUAUUUGGAGAUAGAUAGGGCCUUUAAAGAGGUAAUUAAGUUAAAUGAAGUCAAAAUAGUGGGGCCUAGUAUCAUAUGACCGAUGUCCUUAUAGGAAGAGGAGAGACACCAGGGAUGUGCACACACAGAGGGGAGUCCAUGGGAGGACGGGGCAAGAAGGUGGCUGUCCUCGAGCCAGAGAGAGGCCUCAGAAGAAACCCAACUUGCUGGCACCUUGAUCUUGAACUUUCGGCCUCCAGAACUAUUUACUGUUACAGCACACUGAAGUCCUGAGCCCUCCGCCACCCGCAAGGCCUUCCUCGGAGACAGGGACCUAUCCAGAGAUGUCUCUGUCACUGUCAGGAUGCGCUGCAAGUGGACAAAGGGUUUCCUUCGUGUUGACCCUAAGAAGACCUCGACUUGAUCAAGGAAGAACUGAGCAUGGCUUGCAGUAGAGACAGUCACACACAGCUUCCCAUGAAUAGGUGUGGGCCUGAUCAUCUUAGCACCUUCUCUAGCCUUCAAGAAGCUCUCAAAAUCAGGGCCAUCUUGGUAUUUCACUAGCUGCUUCUUUCUUUUUUUGAUAUUUUAAGAGACAGGGACUUGCUAUGUUGCCCAGGUUGGACUUGUAUUCCUGGGCUCAAGCCAUUAUCCUGCCCCAGGGCUCCCAAGUAGCUGGGACUACAGGCCUGUGCCACCUCACCCACCCUCGCUGUUUAUUUCAAUGAACUGCAGGUUGAUGAUGAUCAAUCUUCUUUCCUAAUCUCCUGGUUGAAAUUAGGGAUAUUCAGAUUUUUUUGAAGUGGAGACUAUCAGGGUGUUAGAAGACCUAGUUCUGAACCUGCUCUCUGCUAACUUACCAUACGACUUUAGGCAAGUUGCUGCCCCACUAAGAACUUCAGUCUUAUCUGUGAAAUCAAGGGACUGGACUAAGUGGUCUCCGAGAUCCCCUCCAGCUGAAACCAUCUCCUGUACUGUCCACUAUUAUAGCAAAUAACCACACAUGGCUGAUUAAAUCUAAAUUAAUGAAAUAAAAGUCAGAAUGUAGUUCCUCAAUCUCACUAAUCAUAUGUCAAGGGCUUUAAUAGCCAUGUGUGGCCAGUGGCUGCCAGGUUGAACAGUGUAGUUCUCCUGCUCUCAUUUUAUUGAUGAUCAUGGUUUCAUAACAAAACCUGCCAGUUGAAGACCACUUUCACGUGUAUGGUGCAUUUUAAUACACGCUUACAUUUAACUACCCAAAAUAGGCAAGAGAGAUAUUCUAAUAUCUGCCUUAUCAGAUGAGGACACUAACUCAAAGAGUAAAUUACUUGCUAUAGGGUCAUACCACUAAUGACUAAAUGUAGUUUCCAAGCCCAGGACUCUCUAACACAUGGUACAAAGUCAUGACGAGAAGACAUGUGCCCCCUGGCCAAAACUAUUCAACCCAUGGUAGCACCAGAACUGAGAUCCAGGGAUUAAGGGCUGAUCUGGAGACCCUGUGCCUUGGUGUAGACCUUAGCUCAGCACAUCCUAGCUGUGUGACCAUGGGCAAGUUAUUUAAUAUCUCUGGGCUCCUUUCUAGUCCUCUGUUAAAUGGGAAUGACCACAGGAUCCACUGCUUAUGAGAACUGCACAAGUAGAUGCAAAUAAAAUGCUUUGCAUGGGAGGUCAGGCACCUAACAAUGGCUCACUUAGCAUCGCCACUGCCUUCAUUUUACUCCAGGCCCUUGCACGUCCUCACUGCCCCAAAUAGACCGAUGGCCCCUGCAGCCUUACUCCCAACUUGUCUAAAGAAAGUUGCUACUCUUAGGCAUGGACAACAGCUUGCUUUUUGAAACCUACUGAGUAGUUUGGCCUCAUAGCCUCCUGGGGCUGUGAGCACUCUGUAUUAAUUACAAGUUGUACAGGAAGAGCGCUUUCUGAGGGAUCGGAUUAACCCACCUGGGCAGUGUGCCAUGAGCAAAUGGCUUUUCCCCCUAUAAUUUUUUGAAACUCUUCAGUGGCAGGAACCCACCAUAUACCUGCCCCCAAGGAAGACCUGACCCACAGUAGGUGCCACCAGUGCAUAUGGCAAGAGGGGUGAGGAGGUGUAGGGGCCACCCCAAGAGCCUCCAGCACAGCACUCUGCCCUGGAGCAGGGUACAACAGACUGCAAAGCUGGCUCUGCCCAGACUAAAUUUUAUCUUCUGCAAAAGGCAAAGCAGACACACAUAUCCCCUGGUGAUGGUUUUUCCUUCCCUGUCCCACCACAGUGUACUGUUUGAAAGAACAAUAUUUACACUGAUGUUGCAGCAGGAGUGGGGGCCAGGCUACAAAGCGGAAACUGGGCUCCACCAGAGCAGGAGGGAGGGUCUGGGCCCAGCACCGACUCCAGAGGUGUUUUCCUCUGCCCUCCUAUCCUCUCAGGGGCCUGCCCUGGGGACUGAGGAAGCCAGGAAGGAUCAUCUGGCCCCAUGUCACUUCUCCAGGGGCCAGGAAUGGAACUACCAUCAGAACCUAGGUCACUCUUAAUGCAGGAAAAUGAAUAGCUACUGGAUGCAGCUAUUGGGCAUCCAUGGAAUGCAAGAUGCAGCGUGAACCAUUAACAGUGGCUUCUAUCUGCUGGUUUCCACAUAACACAACCAAGGCCACAGGCAUGCCAAUGUAGAGGAGGCACUCAGUCACUCACAUGCUUAUUUAUUUGUUCAUUCAUUCAACAAUGACUUACUGAGCACUUGGUCUCAGGGAUGAUUUUGCGCUAAGUAAAACAUGGUUCCUUUAGCAAGAAAUUCAAUAACCAGUGGGGAACACAGAAGGACAAAAAUCAAAUUAUAGUAUGUUAAGUGCUAAAACUGAGACACAAAGAGUUAAGGGGUGCACAGAGAUCCAGGGUCCUCUUCCAGGAGGAGAUGUAUGGGAUCUGGGUCUCAGUAGGCAAAUGAGAAUUUGUGUUGGGCUGGGGGGUGGGGGGUAUCAGGGGAGCAAUCUUGUGCAGCCUUAUAGACCACUGUAGAGACUUUUACUCCGAGAGACGUGGAGAGCCCUUGGAGGGUGUGGGGCAGAGGUGUGAUAUGAUCCGAAUGUGCAUUUUCAUGGGAUCACUCUAGCUGUUCUGUUGAUAACAGAUUGGGAUUGGGAGGGGGAGAAUGGAAGCAAGGAGACCAGUUAGGGGAUUAUUGCAAAAUUCAAGUGAAAGUUGAUGGGGGCUUAUUGACUCAAGCCCCUAAAAAAAAUUGUCACUGCCUUUAUUUUAGCAGAGCCUGCUAUAUAGUAGAUGUACAAUCAGUGUUAAAUUAUACCAGCCAUUCGUGAUAUUUUUUAACCACCUGGCCAGAGCAAACCUUCUCCCUUCUUCGGCAGCUGUCAGAGUCUCUAUCUUCCCAUUUAUUGUGCUCAUUUUCCUCUAAGUCUUCAAAUAACCACCAGGCCUGUCGAGUUUCCCUUCAUAGUACCCUCUCUGGAUCUAAGCGCUUUGCAGAGUGUCUGCCCCAUCUCUGGGGUGGUUGGAAAUCAAUUAAGGGGAUCCUGCUUUGGAGAAUCAUACCAGUUCAAGCCAGGUUCGAUCAUGAGGGUACCCUAAAAAUUCCCACAGACCCAGUCAUUGCUCUUACGGUUCAGUACCAGAGAUAUGGAAAGACAGAUAUCAAAAUGCCACGUGAGUACAAUAGACACCAUUCUUCCCGGAGUUCCUAGGAGAUACCUUGGCUGUCUUACAGAAGACCCUCUUUUGUUUCAUCUCUCUCCCUUCUAGGGUGAGCAGUGUCCUUAAAGGAAGCAUUUAGAGGAAAAUGUCUCCACAAGCCUGAUCCCUUUCUCUGAAAGCAUAAUAAUGCUCAAGAAUGACAACAAUGUAAAUCGCCAGGAUCAUUAGCGGAACCUCGAUGAAUUAAAAUGGCUCACAUCAGGGUAAGAUUAGGUCAGCUGCAUUGAAGGGAGCCAGAGUGCUGGGGUUUGCUGACUUCCAAGCAUUUCAAAACCAAAUAUUGUCAGAGCCCCACCGUCUCAGUCUCAGCAGCAUGGAUAGUCAACCCCUGAUAAGAUCAUCCUUGUCUGGAAAGGACCAAAUUACCGUGCUGUUCAGUCUCUAAGACCCCUUCAUUACCCAUCCCGCAAAGACAAAUUACCCUGGAAAUGCUGAAAGGAGUGAGCCUCUAAAAAGGCUCCAUCUGCUCCAUGGAGAAAGGGCUACUUCUGCUCACAACACAGGUGGAGGUGAAGGGCUAUGCAGAAAGUCCAAGAGUUCGCCUCAAGAGAAAAAUGGCAUUGAAAUCAUCAAGCAAGCCCAGGAAAGUCUGAAUGCCCCAAGAGGUGAAAAUCCUAAAAGCAAAAUAGAGCCAUUAUGUCUCAAGCCGAGGGAAAGCUUGAGAGAUUCUGGUGCCUGAAACAAAUAACAGGAAAACUAUGUCA